Molecule: non-coding RNA, 72 nt
Organism: Picea glauca (white spruce)
Lineage: Eukaryota; Viridiplantae; Streptophyta; Pinopsida; Pinales; Pinaceae
Source: Rfam
GCGUAUGUAGUCCAACGGUUAGGAUAAUUGCCUUCCAAGUAAUAGACACGUGUUCGACUCCCGGCAGACGCA